This 253-nucleotide ribosomal RNA is filed under the name uncultured bacterium. RNAcentral describes it as "partial 16S ribosomal RNA". It matches the Rfam family "Bacterial small subunit ribosomal RNA", at positions 524 to 776 of the family's 1533-position model. The record is from RNAcentral.
UACGUAGGGUCCGAGCGUUGUCCAGAGUUACUGGGCGUAAAGCGCACGUAGGCGGCUUUUUAAGUCAGGGGUGAAAUCCUGGAGCUCAACUCCAGAACUGCCUUUGAUACUGGGAAGCUUGAGUCCGGGAGAGGUGAGUGGAACUCCGAGUGUAGAGGUGAAAUUCGUAGAUAUUCGGAAGAACACCAGUGGCGAAGGCGACUUACUGGACACAUAUUGACGCUGAGGUGCGAAAGCGUGGGGAGCAAACAGG